MicroRNA precursor from Gadus morhua (Atlantic cod), 76 nucleotides. Lineage: Eukaryota; Metazoa; Chordata; Actinopteri; Gadiformes; Gadidae. The record is from Ensembl.
UCCUUGUUGGCCAUGAGCGGGCUGUCCGAGGCACUCGUCUCCCGCUCCCGCUGGUGACUGUCGACCAGGUGACAGG